Molecule: long non-coding RNA, 367 nt
Organism: Epinephelus lanceolatus (giant grouper)
Lineage: Eukaryota; Metazoa; Chordata; Actinopteri; Perciformes; Serranidae
Source: RefSeq, a predicted model, not a curated record
AAGAGACAGAAUGUAGAGGAAUGUUGAGUUUAUCUGUGGAGGACUUUCUCAGGAACCCUCUCUCCUUAUUCCACAGAGUGAAUCAUGCAUAUAAAGGGAGGACAGCUUAGGGCCUGUCAGGCUGACAUGCCGGGAGGAGACAAGGAGUGACGAGAGACUGGGGAAGCAGCUCGUCAUGGCGAUGGCCUCCCUGCAUCAAUUUGCUCUGGUGUGCUCCCAUUAGCAUCUGCGACGAGGCCACCACCAGGGACCCACAGAUGGAUGGACAGGGUGGAACAAGGAAGCUGGCUCCUCGCAGCUCCAUCCCAAUUACCCACAUAUGAAGCUCUUGUGAAAGUUCAGUCAGGAAGACAAUACUGUUCAUGCU